UUAAGUUCAGCGGGUAUCCCUACCUGAUCCGAGGUCAAACAUGGGGGGGUUUGCUUCUGGGAGCCGCCCUGCCGGGGCACGAGACCGCGUUUCUGCUGCGCUCGUGGCCGGCGGGGGGCCGCCAAUGGAUUUGAGGUGAGUCCACGCGCGGGGCGGGACAGGCACCCAUAACCAAGCGGGGCUUGAGUAGUUAUAUGACG
This 200-nucleotide unclassified non-coding RNA is filed under the name Preussia sp. (in: ascomycete fungi). RNAcentral describes it as "Preussia sp. (in: Fungi) partial internal transcribed spacer 2". Lineage: Eukaryota; Fungi; Ascomycota; Dothideomycetes; Pleosporales; Sporormiaceae. The record is from RNAcentral.